AGAGUUUGAUCAGGGCUCAGAUUGAACGCUGGCGGCAGGCUUAACACAUGCAAGUCGAGCGGCAGCGGAAAGAAGCUUGCUUCUUUGCCGGCGAGCGGCGGACGGGUGAGUAAUGUCUGGGGAUCUGCCCGAUGGAGGGGGAUAACUACUGGAAACGGUAGCUAAUACCGCAUAAUGUCGCAAGACCAAAGUGGGGGACCUUCGGGCCUCACACCAUCGGAUGAACCCAGAUGGGAUUAGCUAGUAGGUGGGGUAAUGGCUCACCUAGGCGACGAUCCCUAGCUGGUCUGAGAGGAUGACCAGCCACACUGGAACUGAGACACGGUCCAGACUCCUACGGGAGGCAGCAGUGGGGAAUAUUGCACAAUAGGGGAAACCCUGAUGCAGCCAUGCCGCGUGUGUGAAGAAGGCCUUCGGGUUGUAAAGCACUUUCAGCGGGGAGGAAGGCAAUGGCGUUAAUAGUGUCAUUGAUUGACGUUACCCGCAGAAGAAGCACCGGCUAACUCCGUGCCAGCAGCCGCGGUAAUACGGAGGGUGCGAGCGUUAAUCGGAAUUACUGGGCGUAAAGCGUACGCAGGCGGUCUGUUAAGUCAGAUGUGAAAUCCCCGGGCUUAACCUGGGAACUGCAUUUGAAACUGGCAGGCUAGAGUCUCGUAGAGGGGGGUAGAAUUCCAGGUGUAGCGGUGAAAUGCGUAGAGAUCUGGAGGAAUACCGGUGGCGAAGGCGGCCCCCUGGACGAAGACUGACGCUCAGGUACGAAAGCGUGGGGAGCAAACAGGAUUAGAUACCCUGGUAGUCCACGCUGUAAACGAUGUCGAUUUGAAGUUGUGGUCUUGAGCCGUGGCUUUCGGAGCUAACGCGUUAAAUCGACCGCCUGGGGAGUACGGCCGCAA
This 893-nucleotide ribosomal RNA is filed under the name uncultured bacterium. RNAcentral describes it as "bacterial SSU rRNA". It matches the Rfam family "Bacterial small subunit ribosomal RNA", at positions 8 to 891 of the family's 1533-position model. The record is from RNAcentral.